This is a non-coding RNA of Bacillus sp. FJAT-22058, 243 nucleotides long. NCBI's taxonomy places the organism in Bacteria, Bacillati, Bacillota, Bacilli, Caryophanales, Bacillaceae. The record is from Rfam.
AAAACAACGAUGACAAAGAGUAGUAGCUUAAAGUUAACCAUAUCCAGGGAGAAAAUGCCUUGACUGAAAGCAUUUUUAUGGCACUGCUUAAGUGAAUUCACCUUUCGAGUUGGCAUUGGGAAGACAGAAUGUCCGAAAAAUGUUCCGGUGAAGAGCCGUUAUUUUUAAUGAAGUGAGUGCAGAAGUUUUUUUGUUUGUGCACUAAUAAGGGUGGUACCGCGAUACAUAAACCUCGUCCCUUUA